AUCUUUGGCAAUAGUUGCAGUCCAUCCUUCAUUCUUUUUAGCGUUGACAGCUGCAUCGAAGUUGACUUUAAUAACAUCUCUCGGUGGAGGAAGAAAAACAGUAGGGAUAUUUGACAGUUGCACUGGGUCCGUUGUAGGUUCUUGAGCUGAUAAAAACUGUGAUGGUAAUUAACAGCUGCUGUAAUUGCCUCCUGUAUAGAAAAAGUUUUUCCAUGGAAAACCAACUCAUUUCGGACCUUCCAUAUCCGCCAAAGAACAAAAACCAGUAGGGUGGUAAGAUUAUCCGCGUUCACCAUCUGAUUAAUAUGAUUAACCAUCCUUGACCAAUAGUCAAUCAUUGAAUCACCCGAUAAAGAGAUGAUCUAGUACCCAAAAGCGAGGA
RNAcentral lists this unclassified non-coding RNA (382 nucleotides) under Hevea brasiliensis (rubber tree). Lineage: Eukaryota; Viridiplantae; Streptophyta; Magnoliopsida; Malpighiales; Euphorbiaceae. The record is from RNAcentral.